AUAUUGUCCUUAUUCUAAGGCGCUCGGGAGAACCACUCAUGAGGAACUCGACCAAUUGACCCCGUAACUUCGGAAGAAGGGGUGCUCUCGCCGUCAUGGGCAUACGCCCGGCAGCGGUUGAGAGCGGCACUGAAAUGGCUCAGGCGACUGUUUAUCAAAAACACAGGUCUCUGCUAAGUCGUAAGACGACGUAUAGGGGCUGACGCCUGCCCAAUGCCGGAAGGUUAACGGGAGAGGUUAGCGUAAGCGAAGCCUUGAACCGAAGCCCCGGUUAAUGGCGGCCGUAACUAUAACGGUCCUAAGGUAGCGAAAUUCCUUGUCGGGUAAGUUCCGACCUGCACUAAUGGCGUAACGAUCUGAGCAUUGUCUCAAGGGUGGUCCCGGUGAAGUUGUAUUACCUGUGAAGAUGCAGGUUACCCGCAGUAGGACGGAAAGACCCUGUGCACCUUCACUGCAGAUUGAUAUUGGGUUUAGUUGUGGUUUGUAUAGGAUAGGUGGGAGUCAUUGAAGCUGGCGCGUUAGCGUCGGUGGAGACAACCUUGGAAUACUACCCUGACCUUAACUGAAUUCUAACUCCGAACCCGUGAAGCCGGGCGGAGGACAGUGUCUGUCGGGCAGUUUGACUGGGGCGGUCGCCUCCCAAAGAGUAACGGAGGCGCCCCAAGGUUCCCUCAGCACGGAUGGAAAUCGUGCGUCGAGUGUAAAGGCAAAAGGGAGCUUAACUGCGAGACCAACAAGUCGAGCAGAUACGAAAGUAGGGCUUAGUGAUCCAGCGGUCCCAUAUGGAAGGGCCGUUGCUCAACGGAUAAAAGGUACGCCGGGGAUAACAGGCUGAUAACCCCCAAGAGUUCACAUCGACGGGGUUGUUUGGCACCUCGAUGUCGGCUCGUCACAUCCUGGGGCUGAAGCAGGUCCCAAGGGUUCGUCUGUUCGCCGAUUAAAGCGGCACGCGAGCUGGGUUCAAAACGUCGCGAGACAGUUUGGUCCCUAUCCACUGCGGGCGUAGGAAAUUUGCGGGAAGCCGUCUCUAGUACGAGAGGACCGAGAUGGACAUACCCCUGGUGUUCCGGUUGUCACGCCAGUGGCAUCGCCGGGUAGCUAUGUAUGGACGGGAUAAGCGCUGAAAGCAUCUAAGCACGAAGCCCCUCCCAAGAUAAGAUUUCCCAGACCAUAAGGUCUCUAAAGGGCCCUCGAAGACUACGAGGUAAUAGGCUGGAGGUGUAAGCGUAGCGAUACGUUAAGCUGACCAGUACUAAUCAGCCCGUGCGGCUUGGUCGA
Molecule: ribosomal RNA, 1278 nt
Filed under: metagenome
Description: bacterial LSU rRNA
Rfam family: Bacterial large subunit ribosomal RNA
Source: RNAcentral